GGUGAAAAGCACCCCGGAAGGGGAGUGAAAUAGAACCUGAAACCGUGUGCUUACAAGUAGUCAGAGCCCGUUAAUGGGUGAUGGCGUGCCUUUUGUAGAAUGAACCGGCGAGUUACGAUUUGAUGCAAGGUUAAGCAGUAAAUGUGGAGCCGUAGCGAAAGCGAGUCUGAAUAGGGCGUUUAGUAUUUGGUCGUAGACCCGAAACCAGGUGAUCUACCCUUGGUCAGGUUGAAGUUCAGGUAACACUGAAUGGAGGACCGAACCGACUUACGUUGAAAAGUGAGCGGAUGAACUGAGGGUAGCGGAGAAAUUCCAAUCGAACCUGGAGAUAGCUGGUUCUCUCCGAAAUAGCUUUAGGGCUAGCCUCAAGUGAUGAUUAUUGGAGGUAGAGCACUGUUUGGACGAGGGGCCCCUCUCGGGUUACCGAAUUCAGACAAACUCCGAAUGCCAAUUAAUUUAACUUGGGAGUCAGAACAUGGGUGAUAAGGUCCGUGUUCGAAAGGGAAACAGCCCAGACCACCAGCUAAGGUCCCAAAAUAUAUGUUAAGUGGAAAAGGAUGUGGCGUUGCCCAGACAACUAGGAUGUUGGCUUAGAAGCAGCCAUCAUUUAAAGAGUGCGUAAUAGCUCACUAGUCGAGUGACACUGCGCCGAAAAUGUACCGGGGCUAAACAUAUUACCG
RNAcentral lists this ribosomal RNA (680 nucleotides) under Staphylococcus aureus. Its description in RNAcentral is "partial 23S ribosomal RNA". It matches the Rfam family "Bacterial large subunit ribosomal RNA", at positions 513 to 1196 of the family's 2925-position model. Lineage: Bacteria; Bacillati; Bacillota; Bacilli; Caryophanales; Staphylococcaceae. The record is from RNAcentral.